GAACUCUUCCUUUAUGUGAGAGUGUUUUCAUGGAGCGACCAUCCCCAUCAUGUACAAUUAGUUUGAAUACUUUUGAUUAUGCACUAAAACAUUCUCAAUGUUCAAUUUAAAUAUUUGGAAAAAAAAAAAAACUAAGCGCACACGAAGGAAAAAUACCAUGUAAAUCUACUAACAUCAUUAAUGAAAUGCUCCAAGCUUUCCCAACAAAGCAUCUACUAACAUCAUUCAUUAUAUCCAACAGUAAAACAGAGUUCGUCACUAGAUAUAGAAAGUACAAAUUUCAAAGGUUUAUUGGGUACAAAUAUAACAUAAAAAGGAACUAGAGUCCACAGAUUUAAUGGAGACAGGAAAUUAAAAGCGAGGAAGCACAUGAUGAACCGUACACAUUGUUGGAUGACAAGAAUUUGAUGAUAAAUGCAGGAAAUUUGGGGUUGCCUCUAGAUGAUAGAAAUCGCCUUUCUUCGAGUCAUGCAACAGUAAUCUCCCGUACCGAUGUUCCUUAACAAAGAAAAUAGUUGGAUGAAACUCAAAGUAAAGCAAAUACCAAUUAGCUAGAUAGGGUGACCUGGAUGCCAAAUGCAUCUGUGUGCAUGUGAUGGUUUCUAUACACUUAGCCACCUCGAUCGUUUCUCAAAUUUGAACACUCUAGAGAUAGGCAUGUGAGCCAUUGCUAUGCUUUUCUAAAUCAUUUAUUUUUUAUUUUUCUUUUUGUUAUGGUCAGGAAUGCAGUGGAACCAUCAGAUGGAUCACUCAUCUGUACCAUACAUAAAGUGGGGAGGUCCUUGUGGGCAUACCACUACCAAAGGAAAGUAGAGCCAUUAGAACCAGAAUGUGGUAGCACCAUCCCUCUACUGUAUUUUCAUUGGUCAUGAUCAUGUGUCAACCGAGACCAUCAAUUGAGAUUGUCCAUCUAGUAGGGACCCAUCUCAGAUCAUGUUCCAAAAGAAACAUUUAUUUUGUUCAUUUUACACACACACACACACACACACACACACACACACAGCAUGAUAGAAGUCACAUGAAUCAAUGAGAGUUGCAAUCAAUCAAACAAGUUCCAACCGCCCCCUGCAUUGACCAAUCAAUAGAAGUUAAGCCAAGCAGCCACAUCCAAUAUCAAAUUAUUUGCCUUGUUUGUUUGAACGAAUAGGAGAUCUGGUUUGAGAAUGUUAUGAAAAUGUAGCCAAUUGAGAUUACAAUCAUAUGUUUUUCUAGCCUAAGAAAAGAAAAUGAAGUUCCGCCUCCCUCUUGAGGGCAAUUAUUCUUUGAUCCUGUAUUUUUUCAUCUGCAUCCUUAACACACAUCAAACUAAAGUACAUGAACGUUUAUGACAUAGUUCAAUCAUGUUCAUGCAUGAUGCAAUAACAAUUCACUUGCUACCUUGCAAUUGCUUUCCAUUGAAUCUAGGUCUAAGGAAUUCUUAUAUCAUGCAUGAUUGUCACAUGAACCUCUAUGAGACAGGUGGAAACAUGACGAGAUUCAGACAGCUUUUCCAGCAGCCUCAAUGUGGAUGCUCAUAGUCAAACGGAUUGAUCAAAGAGAUUAAUUUCAGAGUGGGAUGUUAAAAGAAAAGUAGAUGGAAGGUUUGAAUGCAGUUGGAAUCACCCUGCCAUUGACCCUACUUGUACAAAUUGAGAAACUGAGGCUAUCAUGUACUAUUCUUUCCAAGGAUCAUAUACAAUCUAGAUCAUCAGAUAACGUGCUUGGUGGUAACACAUGAGAUAGGCGUCCCAAAUCACGUUAUUAUCUAUAGUAUGAUCAAAUGGGAGGAUC
Magnolia sinica is the source of this 1770-nucleotide long non-coding RNA. RefSeq lists it as uncharacterized. The record is from RefSeq and is a predicted model, not a curated record. The transcript has 2 exons. NCBI's taxonomy places the organism in Eukaryota, Viridiplantae, Streptophyta, Magnoliopsida, Magnoliales, Magnoliaceae.